GGAUUCAAUAAACUUAUUAUUGUUCAUUUACUUGCCUCUCCUGAUUGUGUUCUCGCAUGUGGGUGAAGAAACUUGGAACCAACAUGACAGAACACUCAGGCCAAACUGCAACCUCAGCGGACACAAUCAGAAGGGUUUUUUCUGAACAACACGCUCUAAUUCAGUCCCAGGACUCCGCGUUAAGAGAACUGGGUAACCGCCAAGCAGAAACAAAUCGUCAAUUAACAGAAUACUCUAACUUUCUACAGAGCUCAGUCCAGCAGGUUCCUAGCACUCCAUCCACUCCGUCUGUGGCUCCUGAUCCGCCGAAUCGUUCCAUGUUUUCGGAAGUCCAUCCAUCUGCACCAGAUAAAUUUUCAAGUGACGUAAAGAAGGUUAAAGGUUUCAUUCUCCAGUGUAAUAUAGUCUUUAACCAUUCACCGCAGAGCUUACCCCAUGAUGACGCUAAAAUUUCUUACAUGUUAUCCCUAUUGACGGGUUGAGCCUUAGAAUGGGCCGAAGCCCGGUUUACAUCAGCCUUGAAUUAUGGAUGUACAUUUCCAGAGUUUCUAAAAGAACUGAAACAAGUCUUUUGUCAAGAAACUGAAAAUACUUCAGCCUCCCGUGAUUUACAUGGGCUAAAGCAGGACCAGAAGAGUGUGUCCAACUUUGCUAUUGAUUUCAGAAUCAAGGCUGCUGCUUCUGGUUGGAAUGCCGCUGCACUUAAAAGCGCAUUUUUCCAUGCAUUAAAUGAACAAAUUAAAGAUGAACUGGCAACUCUAGAUGAACCAGAGACUCUCGACGAAUUCAUAAACCUAACAAUAAAAUUGGAUAACCGAAUCCGCUCCAGAGCAAGAGAGCGGUCUCGCCGGACUUUUUCUCCACGGGUUCCUCAGACUAGUAGUCAGUCUUUUGUUCAGCAUUCACCUACCUCUCCCUCAGCUCCAGAACCUGAACCAAUGCAACUGGGACACACACGCCCAACGCCAGAGGAACGCCAGAAGAGGAUGCGAUCUCGGCUCUGUCUCUACUGUGGUGAGCCUAACCAUGUUAUCGCUAAUUGUCCCAUUCGUUUAAACCCGCAGGUCCGGCAGUAAAGACGGGGAGACUGCCGGAGUCACAAUCAUCUAAAUCCCGUAUCAUCAUUCCUGUCACCCUGUUCAACAGUAAUAAGUCUUUUCCCCUGUCAGCCCUCAUUGAUUCGGGGUGCGAACAUAACCUCAUCAACUCUGAAAUAGUCAAGCAACUAGCCAUCGAGGUUGAACCACUCCCCAUCCCUCUCCGCAUUUCAGCCCUGGACGGAAAGAACCUGCCACAAAUCACCCAUCGUACCAAGUCUUUACACCUAUUAAUCUCAGGUAACCACACCGAAGAGAUUACCUUUUUUGUUUUUCCCGCAGCCAGCUCCUCCAUAGUUCUGGGUUUCGACUGGUUAUUUGCACACAAUCCUCAUAUCAAUUGGACCGAAGCCAAAAUAGAGUAUUGGUCCACCAAAUGUCACUCCACCUGCCUUCAUUCUGCUGUCCUGGUCAUGACUUCCCCGACAGAACAGACAGAGGUGGACCCACCAGACAUAUCCUCCAUUCCCAGUGAGUACCAUGAUUUAUUUACAGUCUUCAGUAAAGACAAAGCCUUAUCUCUACCACCUCACAGACCUUACGACUGCGCCAUUGACCUCCUGCCUGGUGCUCCAUUACCCAACAGCAGACUAUACAACAUUUCCAGAACCGAACUACAGACAAUGGAGAAUUACAUAAACAAAUAUCUCGCUGCUGGCAUAAUCCGCACUUCGUCUUCCCCAUUAGGCGCAGGGUUUUUCUUCGUGGGGAAGAAAGAUGGGUCCCUACGGCCCUGCAUAGACUACAGAGGAUUAAACCAGAUCACAAUAAAAAAUAAGCAUCCAUUACCACUGUUAUCUUCAGCUUUCGAGCGCGUUCAAGACGCAACCAUCUUCACCAAGCUAGACUUCAGAAACGCUUAUCACCUUCUCCGUAUUAGAGAAGGUGAUGAGUGGAAGACUGCAUUUAAGACCCCCAUGGGGCACUAUGAAUAUCUGGUCAUGCCCUUUGGAUUGUCUAACGCUCCUGCCUUCUUCCAGGCUCUUGUGAAUGAUGUCCUCAGAGACUUUAUUAACACAUUUUCGUGUUCGUCUGCCUAGACGACAUCCUGAUUUACUCCAAGUCCCUCGUUGAACACCAAAGACACGUCCGCUUGGUUCUCCAACGGCUCCUUGAGAACAAGCUGUGCGUAAAAGCAGAAAAAUGUGAGUUCCACCGUCAGUCAGUAACCUUCCUGGGAUUCGUUCUUGAGGGCAGACAGGUAAGAGCUUCAGAAGAUAAGAUAAAGGCAGUACUAGACUGGCCCAAACCCGAGACCCGAAAAUGACUACAACGUUUCUUGGGAUUUGCUAACUUCUAUCAAAGAUUCAUACGCAACUAUAGCCAAACUGCAUCUCCCUUAACAGCUUCUACCUCCACCAAGAAGGUGUUUGCCUGGAUCCCUCAAGCUGAUGCCGCUUUCGCCGAACUCAAGUCCCGGUUUGCACACGCACCCAUACUUAUCCAACCCGAUCCCAAGAAGCAGUUUGUGGUAGAGGUUGACACCUCCGAUACCAGGUUCGGAGCUGUGGUUUCCCAGACCACCGAUCAUGACCAUAAGCUUCACCCAUGUGCCUUUUUCUCCCAUAGACUCUUGCCGGCCGAAAGAAACUACAACGUGUUGGACAGGGAUCUCCUGGCAAUCAAGCUAGCUCUGGAAGAAUGGCGUCAUUGGCUGGAGGGAGCUGAGCACCCCAUUCUGGUCUGGACAGAUCACAAAAACCUAUCAUAUCUCCAAUCCGCUAAGAGGUGACCACCAUUCUAACCAUCAUCGAUCGUUUCUCCAAAGCCUGUCAUCUCAUUCCACUCCGUAAAUUGCCUACUUCUGCCCAAACUGCCAUGCUACUGAUUAAACAUGUGUUUAAACUUCAUGGAAUCCCUCAGGAGAUCCUCUCAGAUCGUGGUCCCCAGUUUGUCUCACAAGUCUGGCGCCAAUUCUGCUCCGUUCUGGAGGCCAAGGUGUCACUCACCUCCAGUUACCACCCCCAAACCAACGGACAGACAGAGCGUAUGAACCAGGAGCUAGAGGCUACUCUGCGGUGACCCCCACUAAUCCCGACGAUUGGGCCUAGUACCUUCCAUGGGUAGAGUAUGUGCACAACAGUCACAUCUCAGCAGCCAUAGGCAUCUUCCCGUUUGAAAUAGUACUUGGGUACCAACCACCACUCCUGUCCUCCGACGAAACGAACAUCUCGGUCACGUCAGUGCAGCACCACAUUCGUAGAAGCCGUAAAAUCUGGAAUGACACCAUUGCUGCUCUCAACAACACCUCUGCACUUAAUAAACGCCUGGCUGACCGCAGGAGAACUCCUGCUCCCACAUACUUCAUAGGCCAAAAGGUGUGGUUGUCUACACGUGACAUCCCUCUCAAGUCUGUCUAAAAAGUUGUCCCCUAAGUUCAUUGGUCCUUUCGACCAAUGAACCAAUGGACCAAUGAACCAAUGAAUGUCAUCAGUCAUUAGCCCCUCUGCUGUGCACCUUCGUCUUCCUCCGUCCCUGCGCAUUCACCCGACCUUUCAUGUGUCCCAGAUCAAACCUGUCCUGUCCAGCGAACGUUUUUGCUUACCUUGGUGAACCCGCUGUCUCCUCGUUGUUCCCCGAGUGUGCCGUCUGCCCCAGGAUUCUGCGUGAGCUGAAGCUGCCCAUUGUUCGUGAGUUCCUCCCUCGUGUGUCUCCCCACGACGCCAUUAGUUGUACCAGCUGGACGCCAUUCCUCGUGUGCUCGCCUUCCCCCGUCUUCGGUCCGUCUCCAGUGGACUCCCCUUCGUGACAUCACAGGUUAUACCUGCCCGUGCCCGAACCCAUUUAGAGAUUCUUUACAACUGGACCUAGUCAGACUCUGCUCAUUCAGCUAUUUACAAACCUGUCCGCCCUCCAACGAAGCCCUCUUAUCCAGCGCUCUGCCAGCAACCAUACUCAUCCACUCCAAUCAGACGAUCCGGUCAUCUGUUCCAGAACUCAUGCCCAUUCCCCUUUCCCCUGGAUUCAAUAAACUUAUUAUUGUUCAUUUACUUGCCUCUCCUGAUUGUGUUCUCGCAUGUGGGUUAAGAAACUUGGAACCAACAUGACAGCAACUGCAGUCACUUUUAGCCAUUAAUGCUGUCAAUUCAGUACAGUUGGAUGUUUAACUCAAAACAUCCAAAAUUUACUGAAUAGCUGCCAAAUACUGAAGGCUGAAUUUAUAUUGGAGAAAAGACUCACUCAGUUAAUGUCCGUCCAUCCAUUGUCUGUAUCCUCUUAUCUUUGAAAGAGACCCAUUCAAGUACUGAGCAGAGGAAUAGGACAAAUCAAUGCACGGGUGUGUCGGAACUUUCUCCAUAUGAAUAGUAAGAGAACUGAAGUUAUCGUUUUUGUGGGGUACAUUUGUAUUAAAGAGGAAUUAUGAAGAUUUAGCAUGAAGCUUCAGCUAUUACAGCUAGAAACCAUUGAUCAGGUGCAAAAUAAGAAUUCUGCUUCCAGCUGGAAGGAGUUUGUUUGUGUGUGCCAUUAAAAACGGCAUUAGUUGCUUUUUUUGUUUGUUUGUUUUGUUUUUUUUUUGUUUUUGUGAGUUGAGCUUCAGACAAGAGUUGUUAUACCGUAAUUAAGUAACUGUCAAAAAGUAAAGCAAAGCUAAGUUGCCCAACUUUAAUGCAUAGUCAAGUUUAAGGAGUAUUGCCAUUAUAAAUCCUCACAAACCUUUCAUUGUCUAUGCCCACAUGUGUGCACAGACACAUGCCAGCAGGAAACGCUGCUGCUUUUCUCUGUGAAAUAUCUGAAGUUUGCCACCAGAAACACUUUAUUUGCCCCUAAACCAAAGUACUGGUAAAUGAUGUCCAAGUGAACUGCAUUGCAAUUAGAAAGGGGCAAAAAUGUGAGCUCCAUUUGUGAAUUUGUUGACUUGACAGUGUUUAUGCGCAACACAGGAUACAUGGUCAUAUGACCUUUAAUUUUCUUUAGUAUGACUUACUGAAACUGUGGGGUACAUCUGUAUUAAGUACACCAAAUUGUUCCUAUGUUAGAAGCUUGUUGUUCAAUAAAAGAAAAGAACAAUUUGAAAAAUGUUCCAUUUGUUUUUAGCAACAUCUUUUUUUAAGUGAUUUGCAGAAACGAUAAUCUUGCUUUCCUUUGGAUAUACUUGAGAAAGCACUGAAGGUCCACAGCAUCAGAUAAAUAAAAUCAGUUCAAAUUCACUUUUAUGUUGGGUUGAACUCGAGACUUUUUAGAGACUUUUACUGAGGACAGUUUUGGAUUGUCUUUGCAAAAUUUAGUACGUUGGUGAAAUGUGAAUGUUGUAGCUAACUUUUUCUGCAGAUUUCAUCAGAAUUUUUUCAGCCUGUCCAACACUCAGUUCUCCAGAUUCAAUCACAGAAAAAAAAAAUUAAAAAGCAAACCAUUCCCAAAAGAAAGAUGCUGCCAUCAACACAUUUGACUGGAGGGAUAGUAAUAAUGAGGACUUACUCAGUAUGCAUAGUCCACACACGGAGAUGGAUUUCAUGGCCAAAUAGGCAAAUAUUUGCCUGAUCAUAUUAUAAAAUGUCUUGAUGUUCUCAGAAACACAAAUCAGUCAAAAAAAAUGUGGUUUGGAUUGUCAUUGUGUGUGUAGAUUAUCAUAUGUAGAUGUACUGUAUACAGAGAGGAAAAUGAAUUCACUUCAUUGUAAGAAGCUGUAGAAGAGCAGGAAUAGUGGGAGUGACAUACACGUUAUAAUAGUGGGAGUCACGUUAAGCCUCUGAGGCUUAACGUGACUCCAGGCCAUUUACAUGACGACCGAUUCAGGUGUAAGGAGGCAUAAUAGAUCAAAAAACACUAAAUGUUGUAGCAGCAAAACAUAAAAAACAAUAAACAUCAACCUACGAAACCAAAAUUAGGUAUAUAAACAUUCCAAAUUUUUACUUUGAAGUAGAUUUUGUGGGGUUUGGCGCACCUACAAAAGAAAUCCAAUUGUGAUCAUGAGGUCUACAAGUUUGUCAUAUGAAUAGAUUUGUAAAACUUAUAUUUGAUUAAAAUAUGACAGCAAUGUUUUUGACCUGAUCUGAAGGAUCUCUUGCCAGGGCAUUGUGAGUUUGUCUCUUUGUAUUCUCUUAACAUAAAAAAAAAAAAAAAAAAAAAAAAAACUUCAGCUUGGUCCUGAUUGAGCUAAAAGAAAUUCUCUACCAUCUAUGACUAAAUAUCGACAGUAAAGUAAAAAGAAACAAAUUGGAUAAAUGGGUCUGUGUUUAUCAGGAGAGAUGGCUGUAUUGAGCUGUGUGUCAUUAGGGUAAUCAUUCAUCCAAUGAUGGGACCUAAACUUGAGCCUUGUGGGACACCAUAUAUCAUAAUAUUCUGAUAAAUAUUAUCCUGUAUUUAGAAAAACAAAAUUAUUUUGUUGAGAUAUGAGUUGAACCACUUGAAUACUGUGGGAGCUAGUUUGGUUAAUCAAUCAACAACUGAGAACAAAGAUGUUCCUAGUUGAAUGCAAAUAUGUAGAUAUACCAUAAUAGCAGGAUGUACCACAGUUCUCACAAAUGUUUGCAAUUUUGCAGCAUCGAUAUUAGUACAACAAUUGAUCAUAUUGAAUCUGAUAAGGUUCUCUUUAAGAUUUUAGGUAUUUUUGCAUUGCAGUGUUGUCUGAAGCUUAGAAAAAAAAAUGAAAACAAACUUUUGUCGCCUUCACUUGGAGAUCCUUCACUAAGUUGAUUUGAGAUGAGAGUUGUCUAAAAGAUGUUAAAACAUCUGCAAGGAUGGAUGAGCCAUAUACUUUCCUCAGACAAUCGGGAAAUUUGAAAUAAGAUUAAAACGAUAAACGAAGAUUAAAACGAUAAACGAAUAAUAAACACAUAAAUCUAUGUGGUUCAUAAGAAAUCAUAUGAAGUAUGUAAGAGAUAAUUGCUGCCUGAGAGCCUUGGGGAAAAAAAAAAAAAAAAAAAAGCUGUUUACCUCCUGUGUAAGCAGGCUGAAAAUUCAUGUGGCAACUUCAAAGUGAACCACAAUUAGAGUGACUUCCUGACAGGACCCAUGAAUUAAUUAGAAGUCAGCCAAUGCAAGAUUAGUCCUGCAUGUGUUCAGAUCUGUUCGUGGUGAGAAACCUUUACCCACUAAACUCUGCUUCUUGUCCCGACAUCUUCUCUGUGGCAGGUGUGUGUCUUGGUUGUGAAAUAAAAAGGGACGAGAAGAAAAUUGAGUGAGACAAGGCGGUGGGUAAAAGAAAAACUGUGUGGUGUGUGUGUGUGUGUGUGUCCUGUAG
Long non-coding RNA from Poecilia latipinna (sailfin molly), 7278 nucleotides. RefSeq lists it as uncharacterized. The record is from RefSeq and is a predicted model, not a curated record. The transcript has 2 exons. Lineage: Eukaryota; Metazoa; Chordata; Actinopteri; Cyprinodontiformes; Poeciliidae.